UACAGAGGUCCCAAGCGUUGUUCGGAUUUACUGGGCGUAAAGGGUGCGUAGGCGGUUGGGUAAGUCUGACGUGAAAUCUCCGAGCCUAACUCGGAAACUGCGUUGGAUACUAUCCGGCUAGAGGAAUGGAGGGGAGACUGGAAUACUUGGUGUAGCAGUGAAAUGCGUAGAUAUCAAGUGGAACACCAGUGGCGAAGGCGAGUCUCUGGACAUUUCCUGACGCUGAGGCACGAAAGCCAGGGGAGCAAACGGG
Molecule: ribosomal RNA, 253 nt
Filed under: uncultured bacterium
Lineage: Bacteria
Description: partial 16S ribosomal RNA
Rfam family: Bacterial small subunit ribosomal RNA
Source: RNAcentral